GCCAGUGUGGUAUAGUGGUUUGAAUGUUGGCUUCAGACUCUGAGAGACCAUGGUUCAAUUCCCUGCUCAGGUA
Molecule: non-coding RNA, 73 nt
Organism: Phrynosoma platyrhinos (Desert horned lizard)
Lineage: Eukaryota; Metazoa; Chordata; Lepidosauria; Squamata; Phrynosomatidae
Source: the annotation of a GenBank genome assembly